RNAcentral lists this ribosomal RNA (202 nucleotides) under uncultured bacterium. RNAcentral describes it as "partial 16S ribosomal RNA". It matches the Rfam family "Bacterial small subunit ribosomal RNA", at positions 524 to 725 of the family's 1533-position model. The record is from RNAcentral.
UACAGAGGAGCCAAGCGUUGUCCGGAUUGACUGGGCGUAAAGCGCACGCAGGCGGAUGCGCGCGUGGGGUGUGAAAUCUGGCCGCUUAACGGCCAGGCGCCAUCCCAUACGGCGCGUCUGGAGUGAUGCAGAGGUCGGUGGAAUUGCCGGUGUAGUGGUGAAAUGCGUAGAGAUCGGCAGGAACACCCAGGGGGAAACCAGC